This 145-nucleotide unclassified non-coding RNA is filed under the name uncultured Capnodiales. Its description in RNAcentral is "sequence contains ITS2". Lineage: Eukaryota; Fungi; Ascomycota; Dothideomycetes; Capnodiales. The record is from RNAcentral.
CACCAAUCAAGCCUCGCUUGGUAUUGGGCGAUGCGCAUGCCGCACGCCCCAAAUGCACCGGCCGAGCGUGCUCUCCCCCGGCGUCGUGGAAACAUAUCGCCACGGGGAUGGGACCGCCCUCGCGCCGCAAAAACCUCUUUUAAAA